Gorilla gorilla gorilla (western lowland gorilla) is the source of this 193-nucleotide long non-coding RNA. RefSeq lists it as uncharacterized. The record is from RefSeq and is a predicted model, not a curated record. NCBI's taxonomy places the organism in Eukaryota, Metazoa, Chordata, Mammalia, Primates, Hominidae. The transcript is spliced from 3 exons.
GCCACACAGAUGCAUGGCUGAGAAGAUCCACCACUGAUACCUCCCUCUGAAAAAGCUCAGAGGCAAGGCUUGCAUAAGGAGCAGAAAGAGCAUGGCAAAGACCCUGCAUCCAAGCCAGCAAUGUACAGUGGAGUUUUCCAGAAGCUACAUGGGGGAUGUGUAAUAUCACAGUAGAUUGAAUGCAGAAGCUGAC